RNAcentral lists this ribosomal RNA (440 nucleotides) under uncultured bacterium. RNAcentral describes it as "bacterial SSU rRNA". It matches the Rfam family "Bacterial small subunit ribosomal RNA", at positions 338 to 790 of the family's 1533-position model. The record is from RNAcentral.
CCUACGGGUGGCAGCAGUGGGGAAUAUUGCGCAAUGGGCGGAAGCCUGACGCAGCGACGCCGCGUGAGGGACGAAGGCCUUCGGGUUGUAAACCUCUUUCAGCAGGGACGAAGCGGGAGUGACGGUACCUGCAGAAGAAGCACCGGCCAACUACGUGCCAGCUGCCGCGGUAAUACGUAGGGUGCAAGCGUUGUCCGGAAUUAUUGGGCGUAAAGAGCUCGUAGGCGGUCUGUUGCGUCGGCUGUGAAAUCCCGAGGCUCAACCUCGGGUCUGCAGCCGAUACGGGCAGGCUAGAGUUCGGCAGGGGAGACUGGAAUUCCUGGUGUAGCGGUGAAAUGCGCAGAUAUCAGGAGGAACACCGGUGGCGAAGGCGGGUCUCUGGGUCGAUACUGACGCUGAGGAGCGAAAGCGUGGGGAGCGAACAGGAUUAGAUACCCUUG